This 653-nucleotide unclassified non-coding RNA is filed under the name Melitaea cinxia (Glanville fritillary). RNAcentral's name for it is "misc RNA ENSMCXG00005013311.1". The record is from RNAcentral. Lineage: Eukaryota; Metazoa; Arthropoda; Insecta; Lepidoptera; Nymphalidae.
CUGGUAUGUUUAAAUUACGCGCCAUGUCAUGUUUUCGCUGUCGGUUAGUUGGUGGAUAUAUUAGGCAUUAUGGCAGCACUCCAUAAAGGGACCAGGAAGGGGUAUCUUCGGUCUUCUGUCACCAAACGUCGUAGCAAUGACGCGUGUGACGAGAAGAGGUUACUUUAACUUAUUCCUUUUCGCUGGGGCUUUUUGCAAAAGAAGGCUAAUAAUGAAACUUAAAUGGUCUAAAUAACAUUGUUAAGUUAAUUUAAAUUUCAUUUUUUUCUUUUUUAAAUGUGAUUAUUGAGUUAUUUUUGUGAAAGAUAACUAAUUAUUGCAACUUAUAUGCAGCUAAAGAUUUAUUUUGUUGAUCUGUACUAGUUUAAGUGUUUAAAUACUAAGUUUUCAUAAGAUUUCUAAGACUGUUCAGUUGGCUUUCAAGUUAAUGUAACAACCCAAUGUGAUAAAUAAAGAACAAAAGAUUUUGGUAUUUUUUCUUUUUGUCUGGCAAGCUUAAAUCAAUACUAUAAUAGCCCUAAAAUAUGACACCUGUAAAUAUUGGCAUUAACCAGAUACAAACAAUUUUUGGUCUGGGCGUUCAGUACUUUAUUAAUUAGUUCUAAUAUUAGGACAUUGGGUCAUCCUCGGAAGUCCCCUCUAUUAAACUGGGC